CCUACGGGAGGCAGCAGUGAGGAAUAUUGGUCAAUGGACGAGAGUCUGAACCAGCCAAGUAGCGUGAAGGAUGACUGCCCUAUGGGUUGUAAACUUCUUUUAUAUGGGAAUAAAAUGUUCCACGUGUGGGAUUUUGUAUGUACCAUAUGAAUAAGGAUCGGCUAACUCCGUGCCAGCAGCCGCGGUAAUACGGAGGAUCCGAGCGUUAUCCGGAUUUAUUGGGUUUAAAGGGAGCGUAGGUGGAUUGUUAAGUCAGUUGUGAAAGUUUGCGGCUCAACCGUAAAAUUGCAGUUGAAACUGGCAGUCUUGAGUACAGGAGAGGUGGGCGGAAUUCGUGGUGUAGUGGUGAAAUGCUUAGAUAUCACGAAGAACUCCGAUUGCGAAGGCAGUUCACUGGACUGCAACUGACACUGAGGCUCGAAAGUGUGGGUAUCAAACAGGAUUAGAUACCCUUGUAGUC
This 460-nucleotide ribosomal RNA is filed under the name uncultured bacterium. RNAcentral describes it as "partial 16S ribosomal RNA". It matches the Rfam family "Bacterial small subunit ribosomal RNA", at positions 338 to 795 of the family's 1533-position model. The record is from RNAcentral.